RNAcentral lists this ribosomal RNA (492 nucleotides) under uncultured bacterium. RNAcentral's name for it is "partial 16S ribosomal RNA". It matches the Rfam family "Bacterial small subunit ribosomal RNA", at positions 29 to 507 of the family's 1533-position model. The record is from RNAcentral.
AGUGAACGCUGGCGGUAUGCCUAACACAUGCAAGUCGAACGGCAGCACAGUAAGAGCUUGCUCUUACGGGUGGCGAGUGGCGGACGGGUGAGGAAUACAUCGGAAUCUACUUUUUCGUGGGGGAUAACGUAGGGAAACUUACGCUAAUACCGCAUACGACCUACGGGUGAAAGCAGGGGAUCUUCGGACCUUGCGCGAUUGAAUGAGCCGAUGUCGGAUUAGCUAGUUGGCGGGGUAAAGGCCCACCAAGGCGACGAUCCGUAGCUGGUCUGAGAGGAUGAGCAGCCACACUGGAACUGAGACACGGUCCAGACUCCUACGGGAGGCAGCAGUGGGGAAUAUUGGACAAUGGGCGCAAGCCUGAUCCAGCCAUACCGCGUGGGUGAAGAAGGCCUUCGGGUUGUAAAGCCCUUUUGUUGGGAAAGAAAAGCAGCAGGUUAAUACCCCGCUGUUCUGACGGUACCCAAAGAAUAAGCACCGGCUAACUUCGUG